Molecule: long non-coding RNA, 672 nt
Organism: Sander lucioperca (pikeperch)
Lineage: Eukaryota; Metazoa; Chordata; Actinopteri; Perciformes; Percidae
Exons: 3
Source: RefSeq, a predicted model, not a curated record
UACAUCGCCGGACUGGAGCUUUCUGUUACUCUUGCCCAAUCAGCGCGCUGCACCGUUGUUUGCCUUGCUUUUUGAAUUGAGUUCGGGCAAAUACCUACUCGGGACUACUAUUAAGCAGUUAGCUAGCUGUCAACAAGUAACCACAUUUCGACAAUUUGGACUAUUCACGCAUAAAGGGCAACAUGCCCACCAGACUUGCCAUAUAACGAAGAGAUGUUAUAGAUUUUAGAGUGUUCUAGAGUGUUUUGGGCCGAAGAGGAAUUCUCGGGAAUUCUUUAUUGUAUUGUUGACUUGAAGUUACUAGCUAACGUUAGCUCGGUAGCUAACGUUAGCUAAUUUAGUUAGAGAGCUCAUUGAAUUAAGUUAGCUCGCCCCCGUUUCUGUAAUUCCUUGAUAUAAGUUACCAGCCAUCGAAACAGGCGUUUGGACAAUUUGGUGCCUCCACAAGUUCCUGGCAUGGCUGACAGCAGCAUAGUGACUUUAGGGACAGCUCGAAGUCUGCUGGAUUCUUCGGUCUAUGAUUCGAAGAUCGCCGAAACCACCAAGGACCAUGUAUUUCUGGGGAUGGCAUGUGAAGACGGGGAAGAUAUGCUGCCAAAAGUGGAGACAAGGGUUGUUCUUGUGGGAGAAGCAGGCAGAAAUGGGGCGCUGGUCAAAGCUCUGCAGGUACAU